GACGGGCGGCGACCGCGGAUACUUUCUGGAAGACGCUGUCGUCUGCUGCCGCGGCGCCGGCGGCGGUCGAGGUCUACUGAAGGACUCCACCGUACUACUCAUGGAGCUCGAGGUAGGUCUCUGUGAAAUAAUCGGAUUAUCCUGAGGGUAAAAUCGGGAAUCCACAAACGGAUCGUUAUUAGGGUUAAGCCCUUGAUUGAACUGGUGAUGAUGAGCAUAAGGUAAAGAGAAAUUAGUUUUGGCUUUAGGACCGCGAAGUGCACGCGCUGCGGCGUCAUAAGCACGCGCGGCAUCCUCAGCAGAAUCGAAAGUACCUAACCAAACCCUAGUUUUCUUCCAAGGGUCUCUGAUCUCCGCCGCAAAUCUUC
RNAcentral lists this long non-coding RNA (368 nucleotides) under Nicotiana tabacum (common tobacco). Its description in RNAcentral is "long non-coding RNA (NTAB_LNC016829)". The record is from RNAcentral. Lineage: Eukaryota; Viridiplantae; Streptophyta; Magnoliopsida; Solanales; Solanaceae.